Molecule: ribosomal RNA, 468 nt
Filed under: uncultured bacterium
Lineage: Bacteria
Description: partial 16S ribosomal RNA
Rfam family: Bacterial small subunit ribosomal RNA
Source: RNAcentral
GACGAACGCUGGCGGCGUGCUUAACACAUGCAAGUCGAACGGAAAGGCCCUGCUUUUGUGGGGUGCUCGAGUGGCGAACGGGUGAGUAACACGUGAGUAACCUGCCCUUGACUUUGGGAUAACUUCAGGAAACUGGGGCUAAUACCGGAUAGGAGCUCCUGCUGCAUGGUGGGGGUUGGAAAGUUUCGGCGGUUGGGGAUGGACUCGCGGCUUAUCAGCUUGUUGGUGGGGUAGUGGCUUACCAAGGCUUUGACGGGUAGCCGGCCUGAGAGGGUGACCGGCCAAAUUGGGACUGAGAUAAGGCCCAGACUCCUAAGGGAGGCAGCAGUGGGGAAUAUUGCACAAUGGGCGGAAGCCUGAUGCAGCAACGCCGCGUGCGGGAUGACGGCCUUCGGGUUGUAAACCGCUUUCGCCUGUGACGAAGCGUGAGUGACGGUAAUGGGUAAAGAAGCACCGGCUAACUACGUG